GUAUAAGAGACAGCCUACGGGGGCAGCAGUGGGGAAUCUUGGACAAUGGGCGCAAGCCUGAUCCAGCCAUGCCGCGUGUGUGAAGAAGGCCUUCGGGUUGUAAAGCACUUUCAGUAGGGAGGAAGGCUUUGGGCUAAUACCCUGGAGUACUUGACGUUACCUACAGAAGAAGCACCGGCUAAUUUCGUGCCAGCAGCCGCGGUAAUACGAAAGGUGCGAGCGUUAAUCGGAAUUACUGGGCGUAAAGCGCGCGUAGGCGGUGUGUUAAGUCGGAUGUGAAAGCCCAGGGCUCAACCUUGGAAUUGCAUCCGAUACUGGCACGCUAGAGUGCAGUAGAGGGAGGUGGAAUUUCCGGUGUAGCGGUGAAAUGCGUAGAGAUCGGAAGGAACACCAGUGGCGAAGGCGGCCUCCUGGACUGACACUGACGCUGAGGUGCGAAAGCGUGGGGAGCAAACAGGAUUAGAUACCCCAGUAGUCCGUUA
This 482-nucleotide ribosomal RNA is filed under the name Mycobacterium tuberculosis. RNAcentral's name for it is "bacterial SSU rRNA". It matches the Rfam family "Bacterial small subunit ribosomal RNA", at positions 322 to 802 of the family's 1533-position model. The record is from RNAcentral. Lineage: Bacteria; Bacillati; Actinomycetota; Actinomycetes; Mycobacteriales; Mycobacteriaceae.